GGUAUCUUAGGAUUUGUUUGAAUUUCGGUAUUUCUUGAGUUAAUUAGUUUGAUUUUGAAAUUGUAAGAUUAGUUUAAAGUAAUAUUGAUAUUUUAGGACUAAUAGUUUGAAUUUGGGAUUAGGAAUAGGUAGCUAGUUUGAAUUUAGGAUUUUAGCACUAGUUAGAUUUUGGGAUUUUAGGACUAGUUUGAAUUUGUGAUUUUAAGAGUAGUUUGAAUUUUGAAUUUAGGACUAG
RNAcentral lists this long non-coding RNA (235 nucleotides) under Solanum tuberosum (potato). RNAcentral's name for it is "long non-coding RNA (STUB_LNC008877)". Lineage: Eukaryota; Viridiplantae; Streptophyta; Magnoliopsida; Solanales; Solanaceae. The record is from RNAcentral.